Molecule: unclassified non-coding RNA, 226 nt
Filed under: Melitaea cinxia (Glanville fritillary)
Lineage: Eukaryota; Metazoa; Arthropoda; Insecta; Lepidoptera; Nymphalidae
Description: misc RNA ENSMCXG00005007468.1
Source: RNAcentral
CUUUAGAAAUAAACCCCUUUUUGGGGUUAAAACGGGGGAUGGUAGGUUGACCCACUGAUCACGAAAUCUCCGAAACUAUAACACCUACAAACUUGAAAUUUGGCAGGAAGGCUCCUUAUAGGGCGUAGAGAUCCGCUAAGAACGGAUUUUACGAAACUCGACCCCUAAGGGGGCAAAACGGGGGGUUGGAAGUUUGUAUGAAAGUCCUAUGUUUUAGAAGUAAAAG